UAGGGAAUAUUUGGACAAUGGGUGAGAGCCUGAUCCAGCCAUGCCGCGUGCAGGAAGAAGGCGUUAUGCGUUUGUAAACUGCUUUUUGCCAGGGGAUAAAAAGACCGUGCGCGGUUAAUUGAAGGUACCUGGUGAAUAAGCCACGGCUAACUACGUGCCAGCAGCCGCGGUAAUACGUAGGUGGCAAGCGUUGUCCGGAUUUAUUGGGUUUAAAGGGUGCGUAGGUGGCCCUGUAAGUCAGUGGUGAAAUAUCUCAGCUUAACUGAGAGGGUGCCAUUGAUACUGCAGGGCUUGAGUACAGAUGAGGUAGGCGGGAAUUGACGGUGUAGCGGUGAAAUGCAUAGAUAUCGUCAAGAAUACCGAUAGCGAAGGCAGCUUACCAAGCUGUAACUGACACUGAGGCACGAAAGUGUGGGGAU
Molecule: ribosomal RNA, 419 nt
Filed under: uncultured bacterium
Lineage: Bacteria
Description: bacterial SSU rRNA
Rfam family: Bacterial small subunit ribosomal RNA
Source: RNAcentral